This 6643-nucleotide long non-coding RNA is filed under the name Solanum lycopersicum (tomato). Its description in RNAcentral is "long non-coding RNA (SLYC_LNC000981)". Lineage: Eukaryota; Viridiplantae; Streptophyta; Magnoliopsida; Solanales; Solanaceae. The record is from RNAcentral.
UGUUGGUGAGAGCAUGCAUGAUGAUGGCGCCCUGGUGUUUGCGUACUACAAGGAGGGUUCAGCUGAUCCUACCUUUUUGUACAUUGCACCUGGUUUGAAGGAGAUCAAGUGCUAGAUGUCUGGUGGAGUGCUUCUGCUAGAAGUUUUGCAUUCGAGAUUAUGUUUCAUGUAGUUUUUAAUAUUUGGUCUUUUUUGCUUAUUUAUGUCUGGUGUUUCUUCUAAACCUUGGGUACUUGCUGUAACCAGUACGGCAGUACCUGCAGUUUUUCUUUAUCAUAUGAUCUUAUUAUGUGGGACAGCAAAUGGUUAGCUGAUUGAAUUGGAAGUGUUCUGAUUAACAAUUUUGCCUAUUUGAUCUUUUAAAACAAAUUUGAUAUGUUGCCUGAACUUGCUGUUUAGUACUUAAUUUAACUUCUUUACUUUCCAUUUCAUUUGUUGUUUGCCCAUACCUAAAAUGAAGGUCGAUGCUUCGUAAUUGUAUGAAUUGAGGAUCAAGGUAUUUAAGAUUAAAAUUUAUUUUGCUGCUAGGCCAAACAUUCCUGAGAGCCUCACUUUUUAACUGUCACGUGUCCACUUAUCAUUUGAUUCAUGUGUAGUAUGAGCAAAUUUUAGGUAUAACAAAGAUUCACAUCAUAUAAAUAUGAUAUAGCUAUAGUUUGUAAAUUUUGUGUUUGCUACAAAAUUGUUAAUCUCUAUAUUUUGGGACUCCUUCCCUUUUAUAUGUAAUCUGAUUUUUUAAAAAAUAAAAAGAAAGUAAUUUCUUCUUUUCUAAGAUAAAAAGAAGAAAUUCGUUAAACUGUGCACAUAAUAGGAUUCUUUUCCUUCUAUGUCUUCUUCAUUAGUAAUAUAUAAGUAUUUUUCUUUUAUACAACAAAAAAAAAGAAUAUAUACUUAAACCAAUUUUUAUACCAUGUAUGUGUUCUUUGUUGCUUGUCAAUUUUUUUAAAUGCUUUGGCCCCAAUCGAUUAAGAAAAACUGGUUUGGGGAGAUUUUAGGGGAAUCGAAAGAAAAUGGGAGAGAAAAAGAUGGGGAAUAGAUUUGUAAAAGAAUAUUUCAUCUUCUAUAAAAAUGGGUGGGUUCCAACUAAAUGACAAAAAUUGUGUUACAUAUGCUACUUGAUUUAUAUAUUUGCUAUUAUGUAUAAUAUUUCUCAAUAAUCUAUCAUGUGCCUACUUGUUAUGAACAAUCUUAAGACAUGUAUAACGAGCAAAGAACGAUAAAGACGAGUUGUGGUGAACUUUUGAGGAAAUCAGUUGGUCACUUAAUUAUUAACUCUUUUUUUUUUGAGAAAGUCUUUAAUUUUGAUUUUUAAUUUGAAAGUCGUUUGACUAUACUUUUUUCUCUCAAAAAGUCACUUAACUUGAACUCAAAAUCUGCUCAAAAAUGUUUUAUAUACAAAGUCACUUAAUCUAUUUACUUGAUUUUUUCAUUAAAUUUGUUAAUAUGAAUUUUUAGUUAGAAUCAAAAAUUUAAAAACAUAAAAAGACUUUUAGAUUUAUGGGUUUUUGUCUAGUCUAUCUGAAGAUUGAUUUUGAUUUAUGGUUUACGUUACUUUUAAUGUUCUAACCAUUAACAUAUGUAUAAACAUAAUUCUCAUUUUAAGAUUUGUGAUAGAUUCUUAGAAAUAGAUAUCUUUUUACUUCUUAAAUUUUGAUUUUAAAUAAAAAGUUUGUAUUAACAAAUAUUAACUGAAAAAGAAUCAAUGAAAUAUUUAUAAGUAAAACUUUUCCCAUUAAAUGAUGUAGGGCUUAAUAUCAAAAUUAAAUGACAUUUUAAAAGAUAAAUUCAUAGUUAUAAUCAUAUGCGAUAUUACGCAAACUCAGUUAAUUUCUCUACUAACAAAACAUAUCACAUACGGAAAACAAAUACCUCAGACCAUCUCCAAUUCAACACAAAUUUUAUAUCAAAUUUUAUAUUUAGCGUAAAAAUUGGUAUUUUGAGCUCCAAUUCAUAUCAAUUUUUACAUCAACUUUAGUCUGUGAAUAGUGUCACAUCAUCGCACCAAUUCACUUUUUGAAUAUUAUAAUAUUAUUUUAUCAUACAAAUUAUUAAUUAAAUAUUAUAUAAAUUGUAUAUCUUAAUUAAAUCUCUUGUAUAUUUAAUUAUUUUUAUGUAAUAAUUUUAUAAUAUUAACUUUAGAUAUAAAAUUUAGCUUUUUUAUAAAUUAUUUUUUCUAUAUAUGACUUAAAAAAAUAUUAUGUUAAUUUUACUAGAAAUUAUAAUUGAAUAUAAACUAGAAUUAAUCUUCACGAAAAUUAAAAAUGCAAAUGUAUAAAUUUGUAAAGAAAUAAUACAAUGUACUUAAAAAUAACCAAAAUAAUAAACAUUCAACAAAGUAGUAAUUGACAUACAUUGGAAUUGAAAUAUAAAAUACAUAUUAAUUUUAAAAAGUACAACAAAACAUAAUGAUUUUUGUAUUAAACGAUUAUUAAAAAAAAUAUGAAUUAUAUAAAACGAAUGUUUUAGAAAGAAUUUGUUUUAUGACAUAAGAAAAUAUAAAUGAAAUUAGAAAUAAUAAUAUAAUAAUGGGAAAAAAAACCCAGUUUUGAUGCAAAAUUUGGUGUAGUGGGUUGAAAUUGAUUACACCAAAAAUAAUGCUGACACCAAAGUUGAUGUAAAAUUUGGUGUUUGGGUUAAGACGCUCUUAUAAAGUAAAACAAAAACUACAAACAAAUGUACUAAUAGUAUCAUUGACUAAUAAGUGAUUUUUGGACAAGAAAUUCCAAUGAUACCACAAUAAUAGACAUAUAUUCUAAUAGUAUAAUUGACUAAUGACUAAUUUCUGAAUAAUAAACCUUAAUGAUACCACAAUAAUAUAAUUAUACUCUUAUAUCAUUGACUAAUGAGUAAAUUCUGAACAAGAAGUUUUAAUGAUAUAAAUACAAUAUAUAUAAGAUUUCAUAUCAGUUAAGCGAAUAUUAUCAGCCUUAAUGAAUAGAGAAUAUGGAAUGUAAUUUUUUUUUAAAGAGAGAAUAGACACUUUGAAUUAUUUUAGAUUGGGAUAUCAACAUAUAAUUAUUUUAAAUUUUAUAAUGGAGAAUAUGGACUAUAACUUUUUUUUUUUUUGAGAAAAUAGGUAUUUUUUGAAUUAUUUUAAAUUAGGAUGUGAACAUUAAUUAUUUUGAAUUCUAUGAUGUAUUUAUAUAGUUUUUCCUACCGAAAAAGGCAAAUUGUUCUUCACAUUAUAUAUAUAUAUAUAUAUAUAUAUAUAUAUAUAUAUAUAUAUAUAUAUAUAUAUAUAUAUAUAUGUUAGUGAAAUUUGAAAUAUGUGAAUGUUUGUCAUUUUUAGGUAAGGGUGUUUACAGUUUUAAUGAAUGUCAAUCUAAAUUGAAAAAUUAAAUUAAAAUUGAUUAAAUUAAUUGAUUUUAUUUGAAUUUAAAUUUUUUAAAAAAUGAUAUUAUUUUAUUUGAUUAUAAAAAUUGAAGAAUUAAUCAAAUCGAAUUGAUAAAUUAUGUACAUAUUUUAUUGUUAUACAUGCAUAAUAUUUAUUUUUCGAACAAGUUAAAUAUCUUAUAUAUAAAUAUUCAUAAAAAGAUUUUUAGAAUUUAUUUAUGUAAAACAAAAACUGCAUAAGAUGAAAACAUUUAUCAUAUUUUUUUGGUGGUACUAAGAAUGUCAUUAUUCUUCCUUCUAAAUUCUAUUCGUAGUAAAUUCAGUAAUGGAAAGUUUUAUAAUAUUAGUCGUUAAGGGUGUUUACAGUUUCAGCGAAUAUCAAUCUAAAUUGAAAAAACAAAUUAAAAUCGAUGAAAUUAAUUGAUUUUAUUUGAUUUAAUUUUUUAAAAAAUUAAUACUAUUUUAUUUUGAUUAAAAAAAUUAAAGAAUUAAUCAAAUCGGAUUAAUAAAUUAUGUACAUAUUUUAUUGUUAUACAUGCAUAAUAUUUAGUUUUUGAUAAAUACCUUAUAUAUAAAUAUUCAUAAAAAAAUAUUUAGAAUUUAUUUAUGUAAACAAAAAACGCAUAUGAUGAGAACAUUUAUCAUAUCUUUUUGGUGGUUACUGUCAUUGUUCUUCCUUCUAAACUCUAUAUGCAUAGUAAAAUUCAGUGAUUCAAAGUUUUAUAAUAUUAGUUAUUUAAUUUUUUUUCGUUUUGAAUAAAUUGUUAUUAUCUUUUUUCUCUUUUUGUUAAUUUUUUUGUGUAUAAUUAAUAAUUGGACCGAUAAAUAUAUAUUAUAUUUAUUUUUGUUUGAUUUUGAUAAUCUAAAAAUCAUUCAAAUUGAUUUAUUUUUAUUUCUUCCAAUAACUGAGUGAAACUGACUCGUGAACACUCCAUUUUUUCACGACCUCAAUUACUCCCCUUUGUUCCUAACCACUUAUUCAUUUUUUAAUUGACAGUGAAUUUACUGUUCUAUAUAUAUUAACAAUGGAAUAGAUAAAUCAAAAAUUAAAAAAGCUAUACCUUUUUUAAAAUUAAUUAAUUGAGAAUAUAAUAAAUUUAAUUUAAUUAUAUUUUAAUUUGUUGAAAUAAGAAAAAAAAUAAAAAAAAAUAAGUAAUUAGAGACAGAACAGUAGUCAAACACAAAAAUAUCGUAUAAAAAUUGGGUUAUUUAGAUUAAUUUCCAAGUCCCAGUCGGUUAUAGCAAACCCGAAUUCUCAGGUUAUAAAUACCCGUUCACGCUCUCUACGUUUUUUUUCUUGUUAUCGUCCUCCUCUUCUUCGAAAGCAAAAGUUUAAUCUGCCAUCAUGUUGGUUUAUCAAGAUCUCCUCACUGGUAAUUUUUCUUGUUUCCAUCCUAAUUUUUUUUUUAUAUUUUAUCCUUUGUAGUUUUUUUUCAUUCAUAGAAUGCCCGGUUCCGUUUUGUGCUCUGUUUUUACGUAUAUUUUUCUGGUUAUCGUUUUCGGCCAUUCUCUUGGUCAUGUUUUGUGUUAAUCUUUUGAUAGGAAUUUUGUAAUCUUGAGUUUUGGAUUGUAUUGUUUUAUUGGCUUGUAACUGUUAUUGAUUAAAUAAUAAUGAAAUUUUGUAUGAAUUUCUGUUCUUUGAUGCUUGAUAAGAUCUGGUUGAUUUGGCUGGUGUUACUGAAUGUUUUCCCAAGGUGCUAUGCUAUUAACACUUCCUCUUUUCUUUAUUUUUUAUUGAUUAUUGGGGGGGGAAUUAAGGAACUGGAUCAGCUCUGGUGUUUUACGUGUCGAUCCCAUCUUAAACGGUUUUUAAAGCCCCAAAUUGUUUUAACUGUGAUCCUGAAUAUUGUGUAUGAGUGUUUUGGAUCCAUGAGAUUAUUGUGUGAGCAACACUUAAUUUAUUAUGGUGCAAAUUUUGUCAAUUUUAUAUGACAAACAUAAAAAGAUGUGUUCUUGCGCAAGCCCCAUAAAUCUGCAAAAAACUUUUGUCAAGUCAGUGGUUUCUAGUAAUUUCAUUAUCAAUUUGAACAUCUUAUAGUUUAUCUGGCUAUGGUAGUCAUAAAGAAAAUUAGAGAUUGCAGGCUUUUUUCUGUAUGAUAUUUGAUUCUUCUAUUGGUUAGCUACAUUAUUCGUUGUUUGGUGCACCUCCGUGUUUCUUUAUAUGCACAAGUUCCUUAAUUUUUGGGUAGCUGUUACUGUGGUCUUAGACAAGACUUGCUUUCUGCACUCAAUCACAAUGGUUUCCCGAACAUCUCUGUGAUUUGGAUUCUCAGAGCAUGUAGGUUGUUUCUGUUAAUAUAGACUUUAAAAGAGGACAUUCAGCUUGUAGGAAUAUUUGGUUUUCAUAUAUUCUUCAUGAUGGGUUGCUAUUUUGAAACUUAAAAUACUGGAAAACAAAUUGCAGGUGAUGAGCUUCUCUCAGACUCAUUUCCCUACAAAGAACUCGAGAAUGGAAUGCUUUGGGAAGUUCAAGGGAAGGUAGGGUCUCCAGUUAAUUAUUGCUUCCAAACUUUCAUAUAUUAGCAAACCAAAUUUUGGUGGACUAUCUAGUCUAUGUAAAAAGAAAUAAUGUGGUGCAUUGUUUACAUUACAGUGGGUUGUUCAAGGUGCCGUUGAUGUAAACAUUGGGGCAAAUCCUUCUGCUGAGGGUGGAGGUGAAGAUGAAGGUGUGGAUGACCAAGCUGUCAAGGUUGUCGAUAUUGUUGACACUUUUAGACUUCAGGUUUGUAUACAUAGUUAUGGAGGUUUCAGUCAGAUUUUUAUAUACCUUUGAAUUAUGUGAAUAAUUGGUGGUUUGUUAUUGCAGGAACAACCUGCUUUUGACAAGAAACAAUUUGUUACCUACAUGAAGAGAUACAUCAAGAACCUGACACCCAAGCUAGAAGGAGAAACACAAGAAGCAUUUAAAAAGAACAUUGAAUCAGCAACUAAGUUUCUUUUGCAAAAGAUCAAGGACUUGCAAUUGUAUGUCCAUUUUAAAUUGUUUUAUGACAUCGUCUAAGCUAUUUCUUACUGAAGUUGAAUGUGUUCUGUUUUCCUUCUACUACAUACUUGGCACCUUUAAUAGAAACUGAUACUAUGUGUGUUUGUGUUGGCAGCUUUGUUGGUGAGAGCAUGCAUGACGACAGUGCCCUGGUGUUUGCGUACUACAAGGAUGGUUCAGCUGAUCCUACCUUUUUGUACCUUGCACCUGGCUUGAAGGAGAUCAAGUGCUAGAUGUCUGGUGGAGUGCUUCUGCUACAAGUUUUGCAUUCGAGAUUAUGUUUCAUGUAGUUUUAAUAUUUGUUCCUUUUUGCUUGUUUAUGUCUAU